This 310-nucleotide ribosomal RNA is filed under the name uncultured bacterium. Its description in RNAcentral is "bacterial SSU rRNA". It matches the Rfam family "Bacterial small subunit ribosomal RNA", at positions 30 to 334 of the family's 1533-position model. The record is from RNAcentral.
AUUGAACGCUGGCGGCAGGCUUAACACAUGCAAGUCGAACGGUAACAGGGAGAAGCUUGCUUCUUUGCUGACGAGUGGCGGACGGGUGAGUAAUGCUUGGGAAUCUGGCUUAUGGAGGGGGAUAACUACUGGAAACGGUAGCUAAUACCGCGUAAUGUCUACGGACUAAAGGGUGGGACUUUCGGGCCACCUGCCAUAAGAUGAGCCCAAGUGAGAUUAGGUAGUUGGUGAGGUAACGGCCCACCAAGCCGACGAUCGGUAGCCGACCUGAGAGGGUGAUCGGCCACAUUGGGACUGAGACACGGCCCAA